Long non-coding RNA from Solenopsis invicta (red fire ant), 704 nucleotides. RefSeq lists it as uncharacterized. The record is from RefSeq and is a predicted model, not a curated record. Lineage: Eukaryota; Metazoa; Arthropoda; Insecta; Hymenoptera; Formicidae. The transcript is spliced from 2 exons.
AGCGGACGCGAGCGAUGCGCGAUUAUAUUGUGCGGAUGGAAUAACACACACGUACCCGCUACGUUCAAAUCACUUUGACGUUUCGCUUGUUUGCAUAUCGAAGUAGUGUGGGAUUUAAGUUCGUCGGAUCUGGAGGGUUCCGCGAACGGAAUUCUCCUGCGUUUCCAACGCGCGACGAUAAAGCUAGAGAAUAUUUUAAUUGGAAAUAAAUUGUAUUUUGUGAGGAGGAGAUUUCUUUAACUCGAGUAGGCGUUCGGAUGAGGAAGGGAGGCGAAUUCCGCAAUUGUGCCCCGGAGUUUUCCGCGGGAGCACCGUGAGAGAGGCAGCUGCAGAAGCUGCAGGAAUGCGCAUCCGUGGAAUAUAACGUCCGCCGUUGGUAUUUUGAGUCUUGCCUGCAGGCACUUUCGGAGGUUUAAUCGUACAAUUUUCGAAUAUCUCGGUAGAUGCUACUGCUCGCCGUUGGCUAUCGUCGGUUAACUUGCUAUAUUGUUACGCACGCCGCCUUUCAAUGCCGUACGCGGUUAAGUCGUAAAAAGAAGGAAUCAUAUCGAGGAUAUCUACUUUAAAUGGUGUUUAGUCGAGAUUAAGUUCGCUCUUUUACAUUCCUUUUUUUAUAGCUUGCAAAUGGACAGUCAUGUUAUAAAAAAAAAAAAUGUAUUAACUUAUAGGAGGUAGCUUUCUGAGUAGAUUAAAUUUAAAAUCUA